AGGUUCGGGACCUACCUCAAUAGCUUUUGCUGCUUGUUCUUUUGUUUCAAAUUCUACAAAGGCAAAUCCCUUUGGAUCUCCAGUAGAUUUAUAAUGUGGUAUACUUAUAUAAACAACAUUGCCACAUUUCCCAAAUACUCUUUCAAUCCAGCUGUGAUUAACAUUUUUGGGAAGUAAUUCCUAUAAGUGAGAAGCAAUAUUAAAAUAGAAGUACUUUUUCAGGGUCAAUAAAUUUUUACUU
Molecule: long non-coding RNA, 241 nt
Filed under: Lynx pardinus (Iberian lynx)
Lineage: Eukaryota; Metazoa; Chordata; Mammalia; Carnivora; Felidae
Source: RNAcentral